RNAcentral lists this ribosomal RNA (426 nucleotides) under uncultured bacterium. RNAcentral describes it as "bacterial SSU rRNA". It matches the Rfam family "Bacterial small subunit ribosomal RNA", at positions 355 to 773 of the family's 1533-position model. The record is from RNAcentral.
UGGGGAAUUGUUCACAAUGGGCGCAAGCCUGAUGACGCAACGCCGCGUGGGGGAUGAAGGUCUUCGGAUUGUAAACCCCUGUCGAAUGGGACGAAUGGCCUCUGGGCUAAUCACCAGAGGAAUGACGGUACCCUUAAAGGAAGCCACGGCUAACUCUGUGCCAGCAGCCGCGGUAAUACAGAGGUGGCAAGCGUUGUUCGGAAUUACUGGGCGUAAAGGGCGCGUAGGCGGCCAUCUAAGUCAGACGUGAAAUCCCCCGGCUUAACCUGGGAACUGCGUCUGAUACUGGACGGCUUGAGUAUGGGAGAGGGAUGUAGAAUUCCAGGUGUAGCGGUGAAAUGCGUAGAUAUCUGGAGGAAUACCGGUGGCGAAGGCGGCAUCCUGGACCAUUACUGACGCUGAGGCGCGAAAGCUAGGGGAGCAAAC